This 1262-nucleotide unclassified non-coding RNA is filed under the name Hevea brasiliensis (rubber tree). Lineage: Eukaryota; Viridiplantae; Streptophyta; Magnoliopsida; Malpighiales; Euphorbiaceae. The record is from RNAcentral.
GGGUGGAAACAACUGUUAUCAACCGGGAUAAAUUAUUGCCAUGGCUAACACCGUGAUGAAUAUUAUGCAGCGCAACAGCCACUUCAAAUAGGUCUCUCCAGCCAAUCAGAGCAGCGAAUCAUUUUAUUCCUCCUCCGAGACACAAAGAACAAAAAUUGGCUUUGAUACUGCGGUACACAAGCUCAACAACGUAGGAUCUGCGGCUGCCAUUGCCCCAGACCAUCUUUGAGGAGAUACCAAGGCAUCACCGAUCCUUUGCUACUUGAGAGUUUGGUGUGUCGGGAGGUUUGCUACUAGCAAUUUUUCAAGCGAGUAAUCGUGGAAGGUGAUUCCCAAGAUGUCAUCAAAGCACAUCAGGGAGGCUUUGCACCUGUGGAAUCCCAAGGCAUCCUUGAUGAUGUUAAGAUUAUGUCAGAACGCAUUAGAGGAGAUUUUCUUUUCCUUCGUUAGAAGACAUUGUAACAGGGCAGUUCACUGCCUUGCUUCUAAAGCUCUCAGGAAUGUCUCUUUCUACGGCAAUCCCUUGCUUCAAAAGUCAUUUUGUAACUUGUAAGAUGCCCACUUAGGGCCUUCAAUGAAUUUCUUAACUUCAACCAAAUAUAUAUAAUUUUCCAAAUACCUGGUGUUCAUGAACAAAAUCCACCACUUUCAGCAUUAUAGUUAAAAUAAAUACAUCAUCCUCUCCUUUCUUGUGAGAAGGAAAUGCAUCUAGGAAUUUCUUUACCCUCCUAGUGAAAAUAUAAAUGUACAUUAUACAUACAUCAAAAAAGAAUGUAAAUCAGAAUGUGGGGAAAAAAACCCUUGAAUUUUCCUAGUUGAAGCUCCAAGCCAUGUCAACGUGCCAUUUCACCAGAACUGAUUGAAGCAAUUAUGCCUUGGAUGCACCAUCAGUUUGAGAGCCAAUGAUUGAGCUAUUAGUUUCACUGAUAAUACCACUUACAUGGCCAUUAGAAUCUGAACCAUAUAUGUGCCCCAUUUUUUCACGUUUAGUCUCCAAAUAUCUCCUGUUCUCCCUAGUUAUUGGAGUCAACAAUGGGACCCUGCCUGCAAUUGCCAGGCCAUAACCUUUAAGCCCCACAUAUUUUGCAGGAUUAUUUGUCAUCAGCCUCAUUGUAUGCACGCCCAAAUCUCUUAGUAUCUGUGCACCAAUGCCAUAUUCACGAGAAUCAAUAGGUAAACCCAGCUCUUCAUUGGCCUCAACGGUGUCACAUCCAUCAUCCUGUAGGUUGUAAGCACGAAGCUUGUGGCCCAAACCAAUUCCU